UCGUCAGUGAGGUACAUCCUUACCUGUUACUUCCUCCGGGAAGUUGCAGAACAUGAUGAAUGGAGAUAAAUGAGACAUGAUUAUUGUCUCCCUCUUAGUAGGAACAGCAACACCUGCUAAGAACCAUUCUGAU
This is a small nucleolar RNA of Oryzias javanicus (javanese ricefish), 133 nucleotides long. Its record names the gene U8. It matches the Rfam family "U8 small nucleolar RNA". From Rfam's summary of the family: U8 is a member of the C/D class of snoRNA which contain the C (UGAUGA) and D (CUGA) box motifs. U8 is the RNA component of a small complex (the U8 snoRNP) which is required for accumulation of mature large subunit ribosomal RNAs, 5.8S and 28S rRNAs. U8 RNA has been identified in human, mouse, rat and Xenopus. Lineage: Eukaryota; Metazoa; Chordata; Actinopteri; Beloniformes; Adrianichthyidae. The record is from Ensembl.